GGGGUAAAGUAUAAGGUAUACAGUUUGAUUGCAAAUCAAAUAUACGGAGGUUCAAUUCCCCCUUAUCCCU
This 70-nucleotide transfer RNA is filed under the name Bacidia sorediata. RNAcentral's name for it is "tRNA-Cys". It matches the Rfam family "tRNA". Rfam says of the family: Transfer RNA (tRNA) molecules are approximately 80 nucleotides in length. Their secondary structure includes four short double-helical elements and three loops (D, anti-codon, and T loops). The record is from RNAcentral. Lineage: Eukaryota; Fungi; Ascomycota; Lecanoromycetes; Lecanorales; Ramalinaceae.